GAGGGUAUAGUUCAGUGGUAGAUCAUGUGCUUAGCAUGCAUGAUGCCCGGGGUCCAAUCCCCAGUACCUCCA
This 72-nucleotide transfer RNA is filed under the name Camelus bactrianus (Bactrian camel). It matches the Rfam family "tRNA". Rfam says of the family: Transfer RNA (tRNA) molecules are approximately 80 nucleotides in length. Their secondary structure includes four short double-helical elements and three loops (D, anti-codon, and T loops). RNAcentral also lists the same sequence under 1 other name. Lineage: Eukaryota; Metazoa; Chordata; Mammalia; Artiodactyla; Camelidae. The record is from Rfam by way of RNAcentral.